UUGCAGAGUUCUUGCUGAAGUUACAUACUUUAGUACUUACCAACAACAUGCUAGUCAACUUGGUAGAGAUUGAUCCUCUUGCAUCCCUUUAGUAGUUGCAGUGUCUUAGCCUGUUGGAUAACAUCACAAAGAAACCCAAAUUAUAGGCUGUACGUGAUUCACAAAUUAAAGUCGCUUCGGAUUCUGGAUUUUAAUUAAGUGAAAGAUAAGUGCAUGUGUGCGGGCCUUUCAAUGGAGGAGCCCUUGAGGAAUCAAUUAUAGCCUUUGUUUGAGUCUUUGAGAGCAGGCGGUAUUGAAGAUGGUGAAGAACCCAAAUCAGCAGUAUUAGGGAAAUACAAGAAAGAGACGGGGGUAGCGUCUGCUGACAAUUAAUGGCAUGUCGUUCUUAUUAAGCUUGCAAAGAUGAAAAUGUUGGCUCAGUAUGCACAAGAGGAAGAUGAUGAUCAAGUCUAGUAAGUUCAUUCUUAGUUUGUUUGAUGUAUAUUAGCUGUGUUCAUAUCAUUUUUUUCUUUCUCAUCCCCAAAACAAUUCUGCUUCUUGGCUUUUGCAUCAACUUCUUGUAACAGUU
This is a long non-coding RNA of Rosa chinensis, 568 nucleotides long. RefSeq lists it as uncharacterized. The record is from RefSeq and is a predicted model, not a curated record. The transcript is spliced from 3 exons. Lineage: Eukaryota; Viridiplantae; Streptophyta; Magnoliopsida; Rosales; Rosaceae.